Molecule: ribosomal RNA, 465 nt
Filed under: Vreelandella stevensii
Lineage: Bacteria; Pseudomonadati; Pseudomonadota; Gammaproteobacteria; Oceanospirillales; Halomonadaceae
Description: partial 16S ribosomal RNA
Rfam family: Bacterial small subunit ribosomal RNA
Source: RNAcentral
CCUACGGGGUGCAGCAGUGGGGAAUAUUGGACAAUGGGCGAAAGCCUGAUCCAGCCAUGCCGCGUGUGUGAAGAAGGCCUUCGGGUUGUAAAGCACUUUCAGUGGGGAAGAAAGCCUUGGGGCUAAUACCCUCGAGGAAGGACAUCACCCACAGAAGAAGCACCGGCUAACUCCGUGCCAGCAGCCGCGGUAAUACGGAGGGUGCGAGCGUUAAUCGGAAUUACUGGGCGUAAAGCGCGCGUAGGCGGUCUGAUAAGCCGGUUGUGAAAGCCCCGGGCUCAACCUGGGAACGGCAUCCGGAACUGUCAGGCUAGAGUGCAGGAGAGGGAGGUAGAAUUCCCGGUGUAGCGGUGAAAUGCGUAGAGAUCGGGAGGAAUACCAGUGGCGAAGGCGGCCUUCUGGACUGACACUGACGCUGAGGUGCGAAAGCGUGGGUAGCAAACAGGAUUAGAUACCCUUGUAGUC